This 918-nucleotide ribosomal RNA is filed under the name Triticum aestivum (bread wheat). RNAcentral describes it as "partial small subunit ribosomal RNA". The record is from RNAcentral. Lineage: Eukaryota; Viridiplantae; Streptophyta; Magnoliopsida; Poales; Poaceae.
AUGAGAGCUCAAUGGAAUGGCCCAUGGAUCUGUUGUGGUGACUUCAACGAGGUGCUUUCCCAGGAUGAACACUAUGGUCCUAGGGAUCGCAAUGAUUCUCAAAUUACUGCAUUCCGUGACUGCCUGACAGAUUGUAGCCUGACUGAUUUGGGUUUUGUUGGACCAAAGUUCACAUGGUGCAACCGACAAGACCCAGAGUGUCAUGUCAAGGUGCGGUUGGAUAGGGCUGUGGCAAAUGCAAGUUUCUUGAAUCUGUUUGAGGAUUGUAAGGUGGAGAAUGUGAUAACCACCACUUCUGAUCACUAUGCUAUUCACAUUUGUCUCUCUUCAAUUUCCUCAUUUUGCCAUCAGAGUCCUGUGCAGCAAGGCUUUAAAUUUGAAGCAAUGUGGCUUCGGGCUGCUGAUUACAGGGAGAUUGUGGAGCGUGCUUGGGAUGCAGGCAGGGAGGGUUCUUUGUCUCUUCACUCUACCUGGGCGAAUCUGAACCACGUCGCUAGCUCGCUUCGUUCCUGGAGUGGGGAGUCGUUCGGUUCGGUCAGGAAGAGAAUUACCAAGCUGGAGUGUCGUCUUCACACUAUCAGAUUGUCACUACCGUCUACCGCGUCUCUAAGGGAAGAACAAGCCAUUGAGAGACAACUCUGUGAGUUGUUUGAGCGGGAGGAGAUAAUGGCGCGACAACGUUCACGGAUAGAUUGGCUCCAGGAGGGCGACCGGAACACAGGCUUCUUCCAUGCCCGUGCGGCGAAACGUCGACGAACGAACAUGAUUUCCUUGCUGGAACGUGAGGAUGGUUCUAAAUGUAAGUCACAAGCAGAGAUCAAAGGUAUGAUCCAGAGGUUUUAUGACACACUGUUCACUUCUGAACCUUGUUUUUCUGCUGAUGAUAUUCUUGAUGCCAUUUCUCCCAAAAUUUCUUCC